This is a long non-coding RNA of Callithrix jacchus (white-tufted-ear marmoset), 552 nucleotides long. RefSeq lists it as uncharacterized. The record is from RefSeq and is a predicted model, not a curated record. Lineage: Eukaryota; Metazoa; Chordata; Mammalia; Primates; Cebidae.
GACCCAAAUUAGGCCUCCAUUGACCCCUGUGGUUUUACCAACAGUUGGAGCCCUGGCACCAGCACGAACUGUUGGCAUCCAACUGACCUCUCUCAAGACUGCAGAAGCCCUUGGAAGACCACUCUCAGGUUUGAAUCUCCCUGGUGUGACUGAGAUUCAGACUUUAUGCGACCUGGUUAAACAACUGAGGAAACAGGAAUUGAAGCACUACUUCUAGUGUUAACCCAUGAAAUUAAGAAAUACUGGGGCUCCUCAAGGACACUAUCUCUAUUAUUGGAUCCUGCAUUUAGCCUAUUACCUGGGAAUAGAGUUACAGAUCCCCUUCUGUGAGAAGGGAAACCUAUGCUCCAGAGUUAAGUCUCCAAACCACUUAUCUACACAAAGGACUUGACUACCACUAAACACAGCAGGAUAUACAUUCCACAAGGAAAAAGACUUUUGUGUUCACCACUUUCCUCCAGCAUAUGUCAUGUAGUCAAUUAACUGGAAAAAGGAAUAAAUUAUUGCACAUGGUAAGUGAUAUACAUUGAUAAUUCACUAUAUCUCCAUGCU